UGGGGAAUAUUGGACAAUGGGCGAAAGCCUGAUCCAGCCAUGCCGCGUGUGUGAAGAAGGUCUUCGGAUUGUAAAGCACUUUAAGUUGGGAGGAAGGGCAGUAAGCGAAUACCUUGCUGUUUUGACGUUACUCGCAGAAUAAGCACCGGCUAACUCUGUGCCAGCAGCCGCGGUAAUACAGAGGGUGCAAGCGUUAAUCGGAAUUACUGGGCGUAAAGCGCGCGUAGGUGGUUCGUUAAGUUGAAUGUGAAAGCCCCGGGCUCAACCUGGGAACUGCAUCCAAAACUGGCGAGCUAGAGUAGGGCAGAGGGUGGAGGAAUUUCCGGUGUAGCGGUGAAAUGCGUAGAUAUAGGAAGGAACACCAGUGGCGAAGGCGACCACCUGGGCUCAUACUGACACUAAGGGGCGAAAGCGUGGGGAGCAAACAGG
RNAcentral lists this ribosomal RNA (429 nucleotides) under Pseudomonadota bacterium. RNAcentral's name for it is "Proteobacteria bacterium partial 16S ribosomal RNA". It matches the Rfam family "Bacterial small subunit ribosomal RNA", at positions 355 to 776 of the family's 1533-position model. The record is from RNAcentral. Lineage: Bacteria; Pseudomonadati; Pseudomonadota.